This 222-nucleotide long non-coding RNA is filed under the name Pelobates cultripes (western spadefoot toad). Lineage: Eukaryota; Metazoa; Chordata; Amphibia; Anura; Pelobatidae. The record is from RNAcentral.
UUGUACCCCAUGAUGGCCCAGAUUGCCCAUGGACCUACACAUCUCUCCAAGAUGCACAUGAACAGCAUAGUAAACACCCAUUGGGUAGCACCCGGAUUUACUGUUGUAGCAGCUAAACACACCCAAGCUUGCAUGAUUUGUGCUAGACACAAUCCAGGACAAGCUGUGAAAACACCAAGUAAGCACACACCAAGGCCACUUUACCCGUUUCAAAGACUGCAG